Molecule: ribosomal RNA, 497 nt
Filed under: uncultured bacterium
Lineage: Bacteria
Description: partial 16S ribosomal RNA
Rfam family: Bacterial small subunit ribosomal RNA
Source: RNAcentral
GAUGAACGCUGGCGGCGUGCCUAAUACAUGCCAGUCGAGCGAACGGACGAGAAGCUUGCUUUUCUGAUGUUAGCGGCGGACGGGUGAGUAACACGUGGAUAACCUACCUAUAAGACUGGGAUAACUUCGGGAAACCGGAGCUAAUACCGGAUAAUAUUUUGAACCGCAUGGUUCAAAAGUGAAAGACGGUCUUGCUGUCACUUAUAGAUGGAUCCGCGCUGCAUUAGCUAGUUGGUAAGGUAACGGCUUACCAAGGCAACGAUGCAUAGCCGACCCGAGAGGGUGAUCGGCCACACUGGAACUGAGACACGGUCCAGACUCCUACGGGAGGCAGCAGUAGGGAAUCUUCCGCAAUGGGCGAAAGCCUGACGGAGCAACGCCGCGUGAGUGAUGAAGGUCUUCGGAUCGUAAAACUCUGUUAUUAGGGAAGAACAUAUGUGUAAGUAACUGUGCACAUCUUGACGGUACCUAAUCAGAAAGCCACGGCUAACUACGUG